This 328-nucleotide unclassified non-coding RNA is filed under the name Hevea brasiliensis (rubber tree). The record is from RNAcentral. Lineage: Eukaryota; Viridiplantae; Streptophyta; Magnoliopsida; Malpighiales; Euphorbiaceae.
CCCAUUGUCUAAACCAUCAAUUUGUUCGUUCUCCUCUUUCUCUUCCUCCUCUUCAAAAUCAUCUUCCAACACACUUUUUCUUGGCUCAAGUGAACCAAUUGAUUCAAGAGUCCUUCUUUUCUUAAUCCGCGGUAAAGCAAUAUCACAGGAAUAAUCUUUCGUCAGAAGCUCAUCUAUAACCUCAUCCACAUGUGUUAAGGCGAAUUUUCCGUCAGCUAGCUUUUGCCUUAAUUUUCGAUAGUCGUUGUAUAAAGGCUCUAGGUACCGGUACACAUCCACAUCAGUCCCAGUGAGACGCAGAUAAAAAGCACCAAGUAUUCGCACAUAU